UUUCCGGAGGUUUCGUUCUGUUUCUGUUGUGGUAGUCUUCUUUGUUGGCAAUUGGUUUCUCCUCCUUGGUGUUGGUUUCUGUGUUUGAUAGCUUCCUCCUUCUUUCGUCGUGCUUGUUCUCGAUGAAGGUUCUCGAGAGGUUAGGCUUCACUCCUUGUACUUGCUUCAGAUCUUUUCUGUUAGCCUUUUGAAGGCUUCUAACUAGACGCAAUUAGACGCCUCAGUCGUCGUCGUCGCAUCCGGAAGCGUUUUCGAGUUUCUUCUUGUGGUUUGGCUUGCCGGGUUAUGAAGUCCUAGUUUCUGGUUUCGAGAGAUUGGCUCUCUUCAUGAUAGGAGGUGGCGGAUGUUAUUUCGGGUUGGCCGUGGGCAGCCGUAGUAAAUCUCUUCGCAGGUGCAAUUGAGGAGGAGUUUUUCUUAGCCGCUUGUGACUAUUGUUUUUUUGGAUUUUAGCCUUGUUGCUUCUGCUAUUGUAUUUGGAUACAUCUUCUUUCAUUUAGGGUCUCUGUUUUGCUGCUUUGUGGUUUUAGGGUCUUUGUUUCCCUUUCUUUAGGGCUUUGUUUCCGGGGAUGUUUUCGUUUUCCUCCGGCUUUGAUUCCGAGGAUUUUAACUUCGUCCGUCGGCUUUGGUUUCCUUUAUUUGGGCAUUGUGUACUUCCUUGGUUCCACAUCAAAUUAAUGAAUAUAAUUUCAGUUUAGUGACA
This 700-nucleotide small RNA is filed under the name Arabidopsis thaliana (thale cress). RNAcentral describes it as "ATSL186840". The record is from RNAcentral. Lineage: Eukaryota; Viridiplantae; Streptophyta; Magnoliopsida; Brassicales; Brassicaceae.